Molecule: ribosomal RNA, 785 nt
Filed under: uncultured Methylomirabilota bacterium
Lineage: Bacteria; Methylomirabilota (SeqCode)
Description: bacterial SSU rRNA
Rfam family: Bacterial small subunit ribosomal RNA
Source: RNAcentral
AACCAAAGGGGGCGAGCGAAAGCGGCUCCCGCUGAGGGAUGGGCCUGCGGCUAAUUAGCUAGUUGGUGGGGUAGCGGCCUACCAAGGCAACGAUCAGUAGCCGACCUGAGAGGGUGACCGGCCACACUGGGACUGAGACACGGCCCAGGCUCCUACGGGAGGCAGCAGUGGGGAAUAUUGCGCAAUGGGCGAAAGCCUGACGCAGCGACGCCGCGUGGGUGAUGAAGGCCUUCGGGUCGUAAAACCCUGUCGGUGGAACGAAUCUCCUCUCCUCUAAUACAGGAGAGGAUUGACGGUACCACCGAAGGAAGCCCCGGCUAACUACGUGCCAGCAGCCGCGGUAAUACGUAGGGGGCGAGCGUUGUUCGGAUUUACUGGGCGUAAAGAGCGCGUAGGUGGUUCGAUGAGUCGGAUGUGAAAUCCCUCGGCUCAACCGAGGACCCGCGUCCGAUACUGUCGAACUUGAGUGCAGGAGAGGAGAGCGGAAUUCCCAGUGUAGCGGUGAAAUGCGUAGAUAUUGGGAGGAACACCGGUGGCGAAGGCGGCUCUCUGGACUGUCACUGACACUGAGGCGCGAAAGCUAGGGGAGCAAACGGGAUUAGAUACCCCGGUAGUCCUAGCCGUAAACGAUGGGCACUAGGUGUGGGAGGUAUCGACCCCUUCCGUGCCGCAGCUAACGCAUUAAGUGCCCCGCCUGGGGAGUACGGCCGCAAGGUUGAAACUCAAAGGAAUUGACGGGGGCCCGCACAAGCGGUGGAGCAUGUGGGUUUAAUUCGACGCAACGC